GCCCCCGUAGCUCAGUAGGAUAGAGCGAAGCUUUCCUAAAGCUUAGGUCGGACGUUCGAUUCGUCUCGGGGGCA
Molecule: transfer RNA, 74 nt
Filed under: Chlamydiota bacterium
Lineage: Bacteria; Pseudomonadati; Chlamydiota
Description: Chlamydiae bacterium (groundwater metagenome) tRNA-Arg
Rfam family: tRNA
About the family: Transfer RNA (tRNA) molecules are approximately 80 nucleotides in length. Their secondary structure includes four short double-helical elements and three loops (D, anti-codon, and T loops). Further hydrogen bonds mediate the characteristic L-shaped molecular structure. tRNAs have two regions of fundamental functional importance: the anti-codon, which is responsible for specific mRNA codon recognition, and the 3' end, to which the tRNAs corresponding amino acid is attached (by aminoacyl-tRNA synthetases). tRNAs cope with the degeneracy of the genetic code in two manners: having more than one tRNA (with a specific anti-codon) for a particular amino acid; and 'wobble' base-pairing, i.e. permitting non-standard base-pairing at the 3rd anti-codon position.
Source: RNAcentral